Molecule: long non-coding RNA, 3418 nt
Organism: Oreochromis niloticus (Nile tilapia)
Lineage: Eukaryota; Metazoa; Chordata; Actinopteri; Cichliformes; Cichlidae
Source: Ensembl
CGAAAAUAAGAAUUACAUCAUUCUUGAAUCCAACAAUAAGAAAAGAAAGAUGAGGUUCAUAAUCUUGUUCAUAAUCUUUAUCUCAGUAGGAUCUAACGAUUCCGGGCAUGAAAGUGGUGCUGGAAUUUACGGAUCCAGCUUUAAGUUCUUGUGACGUUGCAUCUGAAUGGAGCAAAACAUUUGAAGGCUGAGGUAUGCUGGAAAUCGGUAUCUACAUUCCACAUGACAAGUGUUUUUUUUGCAAGCCUUAGAAACCAAUGUUGUUGUCACUCUUAGGCAACCACAUUGGUCGUGUGUGCACCCAACCUUCUUAGGUGUGGCUGAGCCUAUAUAUAUCAGCCACACCUGCACUGUCUUCACUUUCAGGUCAAUCAGAUUCAAUUAAAAGGGUCCAAAAUGCUCCUAUUUUGGGUUCUAGAAUUUGCUUUAGCGGUUUUCGCUUGUGAGCCCAUAGGAGAUACUGAUGCAGCCUGUAGAAACGACUGUUACCGAAAAGACUGUGAUGGAACAGUGUAUGACAUCCAAGAGGCUACUUGCUGUGAAAACAAACUUCACCCAGGUGCAAGUUUGUCUUGUUGUGGAAAUGAGCCUUACAAUCCUGAAACAGCCACUUGUUGUAAACACAAUCUCACAGCCAGUGUUACUCAGGGUCUGAGUGAAAAGGUGUCCAAGUGCUGUGACCUGAAGGCCUACAACCCAGUCAAUGAAAUGUGUUGUCAAUCAACCAUCAUAUCAAAACCUGGACCAAUGGCUGAAUGCUGUGUUAAAGAUGUUUUUGAUGAGGACAAGCAGUUGUGUUGUGGUCCAGCUGAUAAUAAGACAAUUCUGGUGAGGAAUUCCCGUCACCAUGAGUGCUGUGGUCACAGCCAGUACGACACUGAGACUCAGUGCUGCUGUUCAAAUGAGGAGAAGAUGGAGAUACAAUCGAAGGAUUCAUCCUGCUGUGUCAAGAAUUUCACUCCAGGCCUUUCAAGUGGAAAUACCACCUUCAACAAACCUUCACCAAAGCAUGGAUAUUGUGGUGAAGAGAUUUACGAUAUGGAAAAUAAGUUGUGUUGUGGUCCAAAUAAUGAUAAAAAGAUCCUGACAAAGAAGUCCAGAGAUCAUGUGUGCUGUCAUCAUGGCCAGUUCAACGUCAAAACUGAGUGCUGCUGUUAUAACAAUCAUAUUGCUGAAGUACAGUUGACGAAUUCAUCUUGCUGUAUGAAACAGCAGAUAUUCAAGCUCCAACCCAAAUGCACUGAACCAAACACACAUCUCUGUGGGUCGUCGUGUUACAAUCCAAAGCAAAAUCGCUGCUGUGAGAGUAACCACGAGCCUCACUCACUUGACAACUCAGGUCAAAGGAAGGCCACAGCCACCGUGUACAACCCACAUACUCAGGUCUGCUGUGAUGGACGUGUAUCUCCGUGGAAGCCUUGGAUCGAUCAGUGCUGUGGAGAGACGCCGUAUGGCUCGGCACAACGUGGAGCUCUGUCUUGUAAUAAGACCUUGUACGAGGACAGAUAUGAUGGAGAGGAAUGUUCAGAGAUGGGUAUUCCUUACAACCCGGCUAAAGGGACCAUAUGUUGUUCUCAGUUUCAUGGCAGCCCAGGACAACACUGCUGUGGGACAGAAAUUUACCGGCCUCGUACUGAGAUCUGCUGCAAUGGACACAGACAUCUGAAAUCAGAAAACAUUCACUGCUGUGGGGUCAAAGCCUACAACAUUAAAGACCCACAGAUGAAGUGCUGUGCAGGAACACUGUACAAUCUGACAUCAUUAGACAAGCAUGGAGGGGAUGCGCAGUGCUGUGGAUCCAUUCUGCAAAAGCCACAGGACAUUUGCUGCUCAAGUGAGGACAAAGAGGUGCUCUACUCUGCCAAAAUAGGGUUCAGAUGCUGUGGUCACCUUUACUAUAACACCACCCUGUGGUCAUGCUGUGCUGGGGGGCUGAGAAGAAUCCGUGAACCAGGACAGGAUCAGAGAAAGAUGAUUAAUGGAUCCAGACUUCUAUCUGUGAAUAAUCUGAACAAAAUCGAUCUUUGCAAAGAAAUGCACAUUGGGACUGUGGAAAGUGUGUCGCUGCAGAGCAUUGUGUUCAGGAGUGUGCUGAAGGUCCAUGGGAUGGAGGCCAAAGUGAAAGCUCUGCCAUUCCCUUACAUCCUGGAAAGAGAUGAUCGCUGCAGCUCCCCUAAACUGAUUGCUGGGAAGACCUACUACUUUAACAAAGUUAAUGUUUUCAUUGAUUUCAAUCAUGACUCUGUUCUUCAGUCACUCCAUUUCAUUAUUUGCAAAUGUUCAUCUCAGGUCACCACUGGCUGAUGUAUACAUGGUCAGUGUGGAUCUGUUGCUCCCUUCUUUGAACAAGUUCUCUUUUUUCACAUAUUUACUCACAGUGUUGGCUUUGUCACACAGAAAAUUAAUUAAUUACACAUCACAUUAUACUGGUUAACAUUAUUUUACAAAGUAAUUUGUUACCAUAUUUAUUACAGAGUACUUGUUGCAUUGCAACCUAAUAUACUCACCCCAAAUUACUCUCUGAUGCACCCAUCACAGUGUGAAUGUUUGCUUGAACUUAAACACAGAAAGAAGUCGUUGUAUGAAUGUGUGAAUGAGGGACGUUGUAUCAAGCGCUUUGAGUGCUCAGGUAGGGUAGAAAAGUGUUAUAUAGAAGAACCUGUCCAUUUAUCAGUAGUAUACAAUACUUCACAUGAUAUGUUGUUUAUACAUUACUCUGCCUAUGUCCAGCCAAACCAUGUUGCUCUGUUGUUAACACAUCCCAAGAUGUCUUAUCACAGACAGAAUUUAGGUACUUUAAGUAAAGAAAACAAAAAACAAUGUAGCUUUUAACUUCAGUUUUACAGGGACUCACAUUGUAGUGAUUCACACAACUUGACAUUAAUCAAUACUGUAACACAGUAAGCUGGUGCACAAUGUUGUUUCUCAAAUCUAAAUUUGAACAAAAUCUAAAUGUAACUUUGAUUCUUGCACUGAUCUAAAAUACAAGGGACAACUGUGUGCACAUGUCCUUGAACCAUACAAUUCAAUACUUGUGGUAAAGUCCAUGAUUUACUGUGAUUGUUAAUUCUAAUGAAUGAUAAACACUUAAUGCCAAUAUCAUGAAUACAAAUAUGUUAGAAGGACCCACUAAAAAUUCCAUUAGUUUCUGUUUCUUUGAAUGUGAUUCAUGUAAAAUAGUUAAUGGUAAGGAUAGGUAUGGGAAUUUAAGAAUGGUAAGGAAUCUAGUAAGGACUUGAGGGACAUUUAAGCUAUAAGCAAACAUAAACACUGCCUGCUUGAUUUAGUGACUUUGUUGUUAAUAUAAUAUAUUGCAUAUAUAUAUUGUAAAUGUUUAAUAUUUGAAUGGACCUAUUAUCCUUUAAGGAUUCAAAUAAAUAAAUACAAACACUUAUUAAACCUGCUGUGUUUUCUCUUG